This 468-nucleotide unclassified non-coding RNA is filed under the name Hevea brasiliensis (rubber tree). The record is from RNAcentral. Lineage: Eukaryota; Viridiplantae; Streptophyta; Magnoliopsida; Malpighiales; Euphorbiaceae.
UCCACAAGAGUUGAUUGGGCAAUUUAACAAUUUAGCUUUAAGCUAUUAAAAUCCUUUACAAUAUUGUCAAAAUACUACACAAAAUGACACUAAUUGAAUCUAACUGCUAUUAGGAUUGAUCAAUUAGGACCCCAACAGCUCAAAUACAUGACUUUUCUCAGUGAUUCCUCAGACUGCUUCAACUUUUUCAAUUCUAAUUUAUUUGCAGAAACCAAAGAAGAAGAAGAUUGAGAAGAGAGCUUCUUGGCCUGUGAAUAUGAGCGUAGGUUGUUCUUUGCGUGCUGAUUUAUGGCUCUAAUUGUGUAAUUCCACCUACAAACUCCUUGAUCUUUUAGUGCUUCGACUACUCCUAAACUUACUGCUGUAACCCAUGCUCUGCUUGUUGAACUCAUUUUCUAAUCUUUAAUUCUUCAAAACUCUUGAAUAUUUAUAUUUGUGAGAGAGUUUAAUUUCUUGCUGAAAUACUUG